RNAcentral lists this ribosomal RNA (253 nucleotides) under uncultured bacterium. RNAcentral describes it as "partial 16S ribosomal RNA". It matches the Rfam family "Bacterial small subunit ribosomal RNA", at positions 524 to 776 of the family's 1533-position model. The record is from RNAcentral.
UACGUAGGGACCGAGCGUUGUCCGGAAUCAUUGGGCGUAAAGAGCGUGUAGGCGGCUAUUUAAGUCCUGCGUGAAAUCCUGCGGCUCAACCGCAGACGGUCGUGGGAAACUGGAUGGCUAGAGUGCGGGAGAGGAGAGUGGAAUUCCCGGUGUAGCGGUGAAAUGCGCAGAUAUCGGGAGGAACACCAAUAGCGAAGGCAGCUCGCUGGGACGUUACUGACACUGAGGCGCGAAAGCGUGGGGAGCGAACAGG